CACUCGGCCGGACGUCGCUGCCCUUCUCGGUUUUACCAAGGAUGGUGAAGGAAACCUCAGUCGGUGUCGCGGCCCCCGGUGCCUACUGCGCUCCCUUCUCAGCAUCCCUGGGAAACAUGGUUUCAGUUCAUCUGGCCCAGAACUACCUUUUCCAGGAGGCUUUGCAGCCCAGCUCUUCCAGAGGAAUAAGGAGGGAAACGGAGGCCCUGCUAACUGGUGACCAUAGAGGGACAGGACCAUCUUUUCACUAGCCCAUGCUGCCUUCUACCUUCUCGUUCUACGCAGACAGGUAAGUGCCUAUAUUCCUUCUUCAUCCUUCCCAACAGCCACCCCUCCCGGGUUUCAAAGUCUGUCCGUCUGGCAGAUGGGGAUGCCACCCCGCUCUCUCGCCUGGAAUACCCUUCUCCCGGCCCUGCACUGAGAGAGAGAUGGCCACAAGGCCCAAGCUCCUGAAAGUUAUUCAGCGCGAUUGAUAAAGCCACUCUAAGCCUCUUCUGAGAAUAAGGGGCUUCUAGGUUCUGAAUCCCUGGACAGUAAAUAGGGCACAUAUGUACAUCUUCCUAUGUCCAAAGCCAGAUCAUCUACAGUUAUUUAGCAAUGGGAUGGGGAUUUUAAUAGCUAUUAAAAUCCCUUCCACAUUACUCAGAGGUUUCCACCAUAGCAAUCAAUUAUGCCAUGGGUGAAGUCAAACACAUCUGCAGCACGUUGGAGAGCAUAAACUACAAGGAACCAUGAAGAGGACAGAGUUAUAAGAACAAAAUGUUCCCUUACUAUACCUCUAUUCAUCAGUACUUUGGUGAGUUGGAGACUCAGACUCAUCCAUAGUGGGUGAGCUUUCUGUUGCUUCUCUGAACAAAGGACAGCACAGGAAGGAAGAGCAAAGAGGAAACGUUAAAGAGAAGAAGUGACCCAGACAUUGUUAAGAACUUAUUAACACAGUGGGAAGAACAGCUGAUGACUCAUUCUUCUAAACAAAAGGGUUAGUAACACACAAAAACAUGUCAUGCAGAUUUUUCAAAUUUCUGAUUCCUGUUUCUAAAGCACAUUUUCUACUGAAGCCACCUUGAGAGAGUUUAUCGUUACCUCUGAAAUAAAAGUCUCUGAAAAUAACUUUGGUUACCUUAGGUCAAGCAAAUGUUUUAAGUGUCUUCUAUUUUUUCUUUCUCCCUCUGACCUCCUGACUUUGUCCACAGUUCCCACAGGCCUAACGUGGGCAGGAAAAACUGAAUCGCCAUGACGGCUGUGAGGGCUAAAGAUGCUGUCUGUCUACACGCACUUGGGGAGAAGCGACGCACAGAGGAGCAGAGUUAGAUCUGUGCACCCAGCCCUAUGGCCGGAUCCGGUCCAGGAGUUCCCAGCCAGGCCCAUUUCAAACAGGGCGAAAGGUCCUGAUGAAAACAACAGCUUCUGCCAUAAGGAUCUUAACUAGGUGAAUAUUGGGAAAAUGGGCUUUGAGCCAGUGACCCUGCUGAGGGCAAAGAAGUGAGUAUCUGCAAGCUGAGGCCCCCGGUCUCCACGUGUCCUUGUGGGGAAAUUCCCACCCUCCUACCCUCAAAGGGGAAGGCAGAAGGGAGCCUCCAAGCAAGAGAGGCUGUCCCCUCAGCUUCCGGGCUGCAAACCCUUCUCCUUCCUCCAUUCCUGUUGUCUCCUGCUUCGGGGGAGAAGGCAGACAGGCUCGUGGGCACCGCCUGCCUCAUGCAUGCCAAGGUGGGAGCAAAGUGGUGGCUCCAGUUCCACUGGCUAAGGUGGGGACCAGGCUGAGAGGUGAAUCUCACCAACAGGAAGGGAGGUUGGGUGGGGCAGAGGUUGAAAAGGAGGGUUGAGGAGGGUCCUACCGCACACUAUGGAUGGUUUUGUGUUCUCUACGUACCUCUGCCCUCUUCCCUUUCUUUGGCACAAGCUCUGCACCCUUGUUUGUCGAGUCACCGAACCCUUCCGUGACCUGCUGGCCGUCCCCCACCCCUUCUGGGUGCAUUCCCCGGCUCCAUUCCUCACCCUCGUUAAGAAAGAGAAAACCCCAGGUGGGACUCACUCACCCGGCCUGCCAGGUCAAGAGGUGGUGUGGGCUGCUUGGGGGCGUAGCUCCAAUCUCGCUGGAAGGGGUGGAGCUCCGCUGGCUGGGAGGUAAGGCUGUUGAGGCCCACAGUUGGGGAAGAGAAGGGAGAGAGGACGUGGUCAGGUGAGGGCAUCUGAGCAAAGACAACCCUUCCAGCCAGCUUGCCCCGAGAGAGCCCCAGCAGCUGAGGGACUCCAGCAUCCCCUCUCCUCCCAGACCUCCUGGAAGCCCUGGGGUGGUGGGGCAGGGGGAACAGGACCUCCUGCACUUGCAGCUGCAGCUGGCUUUCAGGUACUUGUUCUUGGAAGUUUAUGGCCUAAAAAUGAAUCUAGCCAGGUAGGCACAGGAUGUGAAUGAAUCAAUGUUUUGCCCGAAUGGAGGGUCUUUUUCAAUAAAGGAUGAACAGUUUUGCCU
Tachyglossus aculeatus (Australian echidna) is the source of this 2470-nucleotide long non-coding RNA. RefSeq lists it as uncharacterized. The record is from RefSeq and is a predicted model, not a curated record. The transcript has 4 exons. NCBI's taxonomy places the organism in Eukaryota, Metazoa, Chordata, Mammalia, Monotremata, Tachyglossidae.